Manis pentadactyla (Chinese pangolin) is the source of this 445-nucleotide long non-coding RNA. RefSeq lists it as uncharacterized. The transcript is spliced from 3 exons. NCBI's taxonomy places the organism in Eukaryota, Metazoa, Chordata, Mammalia, Pholidota, Manidae. The record is from RefSeq and is a predicted model, not a curated record.
GGGUGAUGCCAUUCUCCAGGGGCACAGAGUUCCCCGCCUCCACAGCCCUCCCAUCAGAGGGCACCUCCAGGCCCAGCUCACCCCCAGUGCCCAGAUCCUCAGGCCUCGAGGCUUGUCCACUGGAAGACAUGACAUUGAGGGGAGACGAGCACCAGCGUUUUGGAGCCCUCCUCAGGUUCCAGGUCCCCGUCAGCCAUGGAGGCCCGACCCCUGGACUCCUUUUGAUCGUCAGCCAGCAGUGUGGAUGGGGCGCCCUCUUGGCUGCGACGGAAAGACCUGACCACCUUAUCAGACUUCAGGUACUGUGCUUUCUCCAGCUCCACCUUCAUCAAUCCAGACACAUCGCAGUCACCCACAAUGCACCGGGCCUCAUAGGGCUGACAUGGCUUUGUUCCAAGUGGGAUGAUAAUGAUGAUAUCAGCACUUGGUUAGCCUUUUUGAAUAC